CGGAUCAGCAGCAGCGAAGUUGUGUUGGAUUCGUUCGUUCUGUGUGGAAUGUGAAACAGUGAAGAAAAGGCAGUGCUAGUUUGGCGGAGCUUGUCCAACAGAAAACGAGCGACAGAAGAAAGAGAAAGCUGCGAGAUCCACCACACGUACACACGUGAAGCAGAAGCCAGAGGAAAUCGGUUAUGUGUACGAAUGUGCAGUUUAUCGAUGUGGAAAUAUUGAAAAGAUCAGCUGUGUCGUGUAUGACGAUCGUGUUUGAUCGGCAGCGUGUGCUUACGUGUGCAGUAACCAGCUAGCCAGCUGCGCGAGCGACACAUUAUUUGUUAGUCAUUCGUCGAUCGUUCAUGGUCCCAGUGGGUGGAGAGAAACGGCCGGGUGAUGAUCCGCAACACGCUGCUCUCAAACGUGGCUUGAUCGUGGCAUCAUAUCGAGUGCUGGAAACAGAGAAAAAAGCGUGAUAGGUGAGAGAGAGUGAGUGGUAAAGCCGAAACAGAAGAGAAAAAGAAGUAAACAAAAGUGCGUACAUACGCUUCUGUUCUACUACUACUACUGUGCACAACUACUACCACCAUCUGUACCACUACUUAGGCACAAAAGAGUCGUGAAAGGAACGUCGUGGCAUUGAAACGCAAGUUUCACUUCAUCAAAUCGAAAUAAUACAAAGUAUUUCGAAAGUGAUGCAAAACAUAGACACGUUUUAAAGGAAUCGUAUGCUCAACUACAGAAAAAGGGCGCUGCUACGUCGCGACGAAAGGAUAUAAACGCAGUUGUUUAGAACUGUCCACCACGAACAUCUUUCUACUAUCGUCCCCUGCUUACGUGUACAUUAGUAAGACAAGGAACUGUGCAUCUUCUUCAUCCACAACAACAAAUCGCAAACUCACGUAAAAACUACCGUCGGACCGUACAUUGAAAAACAAUUAAAAGCGAGAGGCAAACAUCGACAGUGCAGCAUAAACGAUCGGCCACGAAACAUAGCCAGUCAGUCCACCACCUUCUUCUUACAAUCACCACCAACGACCGUCAACUGAAGAAACAGAAACACAAGAUUUGUGUGUACCAAAUUUUGUCAAUCCGUCUAAAAUAUUCCUCUCCGUAGAGGCUUUCGGGGGCUCCCGAUCCACAAACGCUUUCUGUUGCUCAUACCGCCCCUAGCUCCUCUCCUGCUGCUCACGACCCUUGCAACACUGCAUCACGACGAAGCUUCGUUUGGUGGUACUGAUGCUAAAAGUAUUAAAUAUUCGAAUUGC
Long non-coding RNA from Anopheles bellator, 1250 nucleotides. RefSeq lists it as uncharacterized. Lineage: Eukaryota; Metazoa; Arthropoda; Insecta; Diptera; Culicidae. The transcript is spliced from 3 exons. The record is from RefSeq and is a predicted model, not a curated record.